Maniola jurtina (meadow brown) is the source of this 1379-nucleotide long non-coding RNA. RefSeq lists it as uncharacterized. The transcript has 2 exons. The record is from RefSeq and is a predicted model, not a curated record. NCBI's taxonomy places the organism in Eukaryota, Metazoa, Arthropoda, Insecta, Lepidoptera, Nymphalidae.
ACUAUACAUAUUUAUUUAAUUAAACAUCUUUAUUACUAACUACAAUAUUACAACUACAUUAUCCAUGAAUAGAUACAAAACCAAGAUUAUGACCAACUCCUAGAAAAAAACUGUUAGGCUAAGAUCAAAUAUACUGGAAUAUGUAGAUGAAUACAUAUAUCUAGGACUAACAAUAUCACCAACAGAUCAAACAUCAAAAGAAGUAGAAAGAAAGAAAUGCGUAUUGCAUUUCUGGAAAAGAUACUAGUCUCUAAAGGAAAUUAUGAAAAACAAAGAUAAUACCAUAUCUGAAAAAGCCAAAGCAUUCAAUGUAUGCAACCUUCCAUGUCUGACUUAUGACUACCAGACAUGGGGUCUGACUGAGAAAACUUUAAGAUUAUUCAAAAUAUUAUGGAGAGAAAGUAUGCUUAAAAUUAAAAAAAGAGUUAAAAUCAGGCUCUCUACUAUUAGAAACAGGACAAAAGUAAGGAAUUUGUCAGUCACCAUUAAAAAACUGAAGUGGUAAUUAAAGAGCACGAGAGACAAGAGAAAUAAGUGGACUUAUGGAAUGGUACCCAAGAACGGGAAAAAGAUGAGGAUGACAUUUGAGAAAAAGCAGGAAAUACAUGGAGAAGAAAAGCCAAAGAAAGACUUAUAUGGAGAACCCUGGAGUUGCCUAAGGGCAAACUGAAAGAAGAGGAAAAAAAAAAACAAAACACCACUGUCAACAAAUAUAUUAUAAUAUACACAGCAUUAACGUAAUUUAAUUCAAUGGAAUUCAGUGAAUAAAGGCUUAACAUAUUAUUAUACAAUAUUACAAAAUAAUAAAAAUACAGUGUACACUAAUAACUAAAAAGCCAUACUAUAAUAUACUAAGUGACAGAUGAUUAGGUAUGGUCUACUUACUAGGCAGAUGCUAUCUAUAUGCAGUUCUCACCACCCCUAGUUGCACUAGGUACCUAGUAGUCUGGCUUUAGUUGUGUUUAACAUAUUUAACUGUUUACUUAUGACCAUAGGAACAUUGAAAUAUUUUACCUAAUAAAUACUUAUAAUAUGCUAAAAUGCUAAAUAUACGCAGCCAACUUUGUAUUAAGAACUAGCAUUAUGUCUCACCUAAACAUCAUAAUAAAAAAUUACAUUUUCAUCAUCACCAACCCAUGACCGGUUUAUUACCAAGCACAGCUUUCCUAUUAGAAGGAGAAGGCCAUAAUCCACCAUGCUGGCCAAGUGCGGAUUUGCAGACUCUACACACCUUUGAGAACAUUACAAAGAACUCUCAGCCAUGCAGGUUGUUUACCUUCACCGUUAAAGCAAAUGAUAUAUUCAAUUGCCUAAAAAUCACAUAACUACAGUAAAAGGCCGGGAUCGAACACCCAACCUUGGGGAAGAAGUCUUAAGGA